This 447-nucleotide ribosomal RNA is filed under the name uncultured bacterium. RNAcentral describes it as "bacterial SSU rRNA". It matches the Rfam family "Bacterial small subunit ribosomal RNA", at positions 328 to 792 of the family's 1533-position model. The record is from RNAcentral.
CCCCCAGACUCCUACGGGAGGCAGCAGUGGGGAAUAUUGCACAAUGGGGGGAACCCUGAUGCAGCGACGCCGCGUGGGUGAAGGAGCACCUCGGUGCGUAAAGCCCUAUCGGCAGGGAAGAAACAGACGGUACCUGACUAAGAAGCCCCGGCUAACUACGUGCCAGCAGCCGCGGGAAUACGUAGGGGGCAAGCGUUAUCCGGAUUUACUGGGUGUAAAGGGGGCGCAGACGGCGAUGCAAGCCAGGAGUGAAAGCCCGGGGCCCAACCCCGGGACUGCUCUUGGAACUGCGUGGCUGGAGCGCAGGAGGGGCAGGCGGAAUUCCUGGUGUAGCGGUGAAAUGCGUAGAUAUCAGGAGGAACACCGGCGGCGAAGGCGGCCUGCUGGACCGUGACUGACGUUGAGGCUCGAGAGCGUGGGGAGCAAACAGGAUUAGAUACCCCCGUA